This 497-nucleotide ribosomal RNA is filed under the name uncultured bacterium. RNAcentral describes it as "partial 16S ribosomal RNA". It matches the Rfam family "Bacterial small subunit ribosomal RNA", at positions 28 to 507 of the family's 1533-position model. The record is from RNAcentral.
GAUGAACGCUGGCGGCGUGCCUAAUACAUGCAAGUCGAGCGAACAGAUAAGGAGCUUGCUCCUUUGACGUUAGCGGCGGACGGGUGAGUAACACGUGGAUAACCUACCUAUAAGACUGGGAUAACUUCGGGAAACCGGAGCUAAUACCGGAUAACAUAUUGAACCGCAUGGUUCAAUAGUGAAAGGCGGCUUUGCUGUCACUUAUAGAUGGAUCCGCGCCGUAUUAGCUAGUUGGUAAGGUAACGGCUUACCAAGGCAACGAUACGUAGCCGACCUGAGAGGGUGAUCGGCCACACUGGAACUGAGACACGGUCCAGACUCCUACGGGAGGCAGCAGUAGGGAAUCUUCCGCAAUGGGCGAAAGCCUGACGGAGCAACGCCGCGUGAGCGAUGAAGGUCUUCGGAUCGUAAAACUCUGUUAUCAGGGAAGAACAAAUGUGUAAGUAACUGUGCACAUCUUGACGGUACCUGAUCAGAAAGCCACGGCUAACUACGUG